RNAcentral lists this ribosomal RNA (433 nucleotides) under uncultured bacterium. RNAcentral's name for it is "partial 16S ribosomal RNA". It matches the Rfam family "Bacterial small subunit ribosomal RNA", at positions 29 to 507 of the family's 1533-position model. The record is from RNAcentral.
AACGAACGCUGGCGGCAUGCCUAACACAUGCAAGUCGAACGAGACCUUCGGGUCUAGUGGCGCACGGGUGCGUAACGCGUGGGAACCUGCCCUUAGGUUCGGAAUAACUCCCCGAAAGGUGUGCUAAUACCGGAUAAUGUCUUCGGACCAAAGAUUUAUCGCCUUUGGAUGGGCCCGCGUUGGAUUAGCUAGUUGGUAGGGUAAAAGCCUACCAAGGCGACGAUCCAUAGCUGGUCUGAGAGGAUGAUCAGCCACACUGGGACUGAGACACGGCCCAGACUCCUACGGGAGGCAGCAGUGGGGAAUAUUAGACGAUGGGCGAAAGCGUGAUCCAGCAAUGCCGCGUGAGUGAUGAAGGCCUUAGGAUUGUAAAGCUCUUUUACACGAGAUGAUAAUGACAGUACCGGGAGAAUAAGCUCCGGCUAACUACGUG